Molecule: long non-coding RNA, 1855 nt
Filed under: Trifolium pratense (red clover)
Lineage: Eukaryota; Viridiplantae; Streptophyta; Magnoliopsida; Fabales; Fabaceae
Description: long non-coding RNA (TPRA_LNC005663)
Source: RNAcentral
AGAGAAAAAGAAAGAGUUCAAGAGAAGAGAAGAGAAGAUACGGGAAAGAAAGAAAGAAAGAAAGAAAGGAAAGGAAAUAAAAGGAAAGAAAAGAAGAACAACAAGCUUCCAUUUUUUUUCAAGCUUCAUUAGAGGUAAGAGGGAUAGUAACAUAGUUAUUUGAGAUGAAUUUAUGAGAGGAGAGAAAAUCAUUUUUCUCUAGCCCAAACUCUCUCAUCUCAAUUGAGGGUUUGUAUGUGGGAGUUGGGAAUAUGUUUAUUUAUGAGUUUUAUGUGUUGAUACAUGAAUCUAUAUGUUUAUUCAUGAUUAUUGGAGGAUUUGCUUUGAGAAAAAUACUUACUUUGAUUGUUGAUGAUGUUGUUUAAGUGUUUUUAGUAAGUUUAUGAGUUUAAGUGAAAAUUCAUGAAAUAAGUGCUUAUACUUGUUGUUUUAAGUGAUUUUGAACAUGUAUAAGUAUGAUAUAUGUUUGAUAUAAUUUACUGGAUUGAAAUAAGUGAUUUUCGUGUUGAAAUAAGUGAUUAUUUGAGUAAGCCGAACUCAAAAACGUGUUUUUCUGCAAUUCUGCAGUAUGAACAGUUUUUGCGUCGAACACUGUCCGACGCUACCUGUUGACUCGUAACCGUUGACUUUUUGUCUACUUUUUUUUGUUGGAACCUAUUUUGCUCAGUUUUUCGCGUAGAUUCCGAUUCCGAAGUCUAUUUUCUGAAAUUAUGCUUGGAUAAUGAUGUUGCCUAUAUUUUUGGCAUUAGUUUAGUUUAAAAUAACUUUCGUAUGCUUAAUUAAUCGAAAUUGGUGAACUCUUGAUGGUGUGAGACUUUAGUGUCUUGUAAAUGAAUAUGUUAUUGAUUAAUGAUGAUGAUGAUUAGGUUGUUGAUAAAUGAUGAUGUAUUAUGAUUAGAUUGGUGAAUUAUUGAUAAAUAAAUCUUAUUAGCGUGAUUACGUGAUGAUGUAUUAAUGAUGAUUCAUAAUGUUAUUGAUUAUGAUGUUGAUUUAUUGAUGAUGAUAAAUGAUGAUUUAUCAUGGGUAGAGGUAUGGUGAUUUAGAAUAUUUGGAUUAUUUUAUCCAUAUUAUGUUGAUGUUAUAGUUGCGAUAAAACCAUAUGUUUGGUGGAUGCACAUUUCAUGCAUUCAUAAGUUGAGUCUAUUGAUGAGUAUCCUAGAGACGAUGAUCUAGUUUACUGUUAUUCUAGAGACGAUGAUCUAGAAUGUUUUAGAGACGAUGAUCUAAAACACUUGGGUUAAGUUAUCCAAGAUUAUGAUGAAUUCGUACCACAUGCAUAUAGAUAUGUCUAGGUGACAUCAUAUUUAUGUGACAUUAAAAUGCAUUAGGAAUUAUGUGAAAUUCUUAAAUGUUAAAUGAUACUCGACAUUGUGUAUUUCAUUUAUUUGUUCGAGAGUUUGUACUUCUCAAAUGUGAUGAAUAAUUGAUAAAUGAAUAUGUCUAAUACAUGUCUGAGCAUGUCUGAUACAUGUANNNNNNNNNNNNNNNNNNNNNNNNNNNNNNNNNNNNNNNNNNNNNCAGUGUCUGAUAUGCGUUAUAUUCAGUCACUGUUAAUAAUUGUGUUAUCUAACCCUCUGUUUUGUGUUUGUGCUGAACCGUUGGGGGUUCAGGUUCUCAGGUUGUAUGUUUGUUGGUGUUCGAGUUGUUGGUGAAAGCUCUGCUCUGAUUGUGACACGGGGAAGGGUUCAUAGAGUCUUUUAUUGUUGUUGUCUUAUUUAAUUUAAAGAUGUAUUAGGAAAAAUAUUUUUGUAUAAGGGAUGUUUUACUAAUUAAUUUUAUUAGUAGAGUUUUUAAUGAAGAAUGUAACACCUUGAACCAAUAUUUUAUAAUUCAUUUUUAUUUCGAGCCUUAAAAU